UAGGAUUGGAGCAGAGAUACAACAUUGCUCUUGGCACAGCAAAGGGUUUGUCAUAUUUACAUGAGGAAUGCCUAGAAUGGGUGCUCCAUUGUGAUGUAAAGCCUCAAAACAUACUGUUAGAUGACGACCUUGAACCUAAAGUGGCAGACUUUGGCAUGUCAAAGCUAUUCAAAGACAUCCAAGGCAUCAGGGACAUCGAUGGGAUGGGAUUUUCGAAAGCGCGGGGCACCAGAGGCUAUAUGGCUCCAGAGUGGAUGAUGAACCUGAAAAUUGAUGCAAAGGCAGAUGUCUAUAGCUAUGGGAUUGUUUUGUUGGAACUACUGAGUGGAAUAAGUGCUUCUAUUCUCAUAUCAGCUCUUGCCAAAGAGUACAAUGAAUGCAACCAUUUGGCACAAUGUGUGACUGAAAAGAUCAGAAAAGAAGGGCUUGAGGAAGUACUUGAUCCUAGACUACUUGGUGAACUCGAUAAGAAGAAGCUCGAAAGAUUGAUGAAAGUUGCCCUACUGUGUGUUCAAGAUGAUCGCAGUGCAAGGCCAGCCAUGAGCAAGGUUGUGGAGCUUCUACUUGAAAAUGACCAGUAAGGGCCAGAUGAAGAAGAUCAGAGAGAGAGAGUGAAUAAUAGAAGCUAAAUGUACAAUAAAUAAUAUGUUAUUCUUACAUUUGUUUAGCUUCCCAUUAAAUGUAAUGAUAGGUUACUAGGCUUGGAGCAUUCCAGCUGAAUAAAAACUGUGAUUCCAACAAUUGUUUCAAGUUUCUGUAUGAUAUAUGAUUCAGUUUUCAUUCUUCGAAUCAACAAUCGUUUAUAGAAAAUCGAAAAAAUUAAAACCAUGAACAGAACUAUGAAUAAAUGGUUCUACAGCCAAACAAAUUAAUACCAUGAACAGAAGUAUAAAAACUAUUAGAGCUAUUGUCGCUUGAGUUAAAGUUUCCUUCAACUGCAUCUUUUGUAAUAUUUGCAAUGGACUAGAUACGUAAGCCUAUAACAUCAUUUUCUCUUUUGUGAAAAGAAUCAAUUACAUGUGGGAUUUGUGCAUGUUUUUUUAAUUUGAUCUUCUGCAAUCAAGGUUGCAAACAUCAUUUUCCAAAGUUAAAUAGGGGUAAAAAUAAACUGCCGCCUGAUUAAAAAAGAAAUUGGCUUGCAUCCCACACACAACGAAGGAAUGGAGAAAGGAAUGCCUAUUGUCCCUUCCUGCCCUUUAAAAAAAAAAAUUAUAUUUCCCUAGAUUUGCAUGCAUAGCUGGCAGUCGCGCGUGGCGACGGAGUCAUUGAAUUUCAUAGAAUUUCAAUAUUUCAUGGAAAGGAAGGUAUUAAAAGUAGUAAUUGCGUCUAGAAACUAGAUAUUUGAUCUAUUAAAAAAAAUUUGAGUUUCAAUUUGCAUGUUUGAAUGAUUCUGCACAACAGUCCAAAAAAAAGGAGGGGGCGGUUGUUGGUUUGGGAGUGGGUGGUGUGGGGGAGAUUCUGCACAAUUUCGUUCUCAUGGCAAGAAAACAACCUUAUUGUUGGGUUCUUAGAAGAACAAUAUAGAGUGAUUUUAUUUAUUCAACAAUAGAUGGGUACAAAGCUUUAUAGAAGACUAGGCUUAUUGGCCUUCAACAACUAGAAAAUUAUAUAUAUACUAACGGCAAUCCAUCCCUACACUGUCCUUAAGCACAGUGUAAUGACGGAAAUGCCCCUCUUUUUAAAUGUUGUUUUUAGUUUAGUUUUCUCUUCAGCACAGUGAAUUUCCGAAAAUGCCCUCCACUUAACCUUUUCUGAUCUUCCCUUUUUGCCCCUUCUCCUUUUACUAAAAUACAUAAAUGUAAAAAUUAAAAAAAGAGAUAAAGGAAUAGAUGGAGAUAGUCUGACAGAUGGAAAGAGGAAGAAGAAGGAAAAAGAAAAAGAAAAAUAGAGAUAGACAGGCGGACCCAACAAGAGACAAAGGUUUUUUAUUUUAUAAUUUCCUAUAAAUUGUAUAUUACUUAUAAUUAUAUGUAUGUUUUAAUUAGAGUGGUGAUUUCCCCACUUCAAUUUUAUCCACUUACACUCUAUUUUAUAACUAAAAAAGGAGUGUAAGUGGAUAAAAUUGGAGUGGGGAAAUCAUUACCCUUUAAUUAAUAUAUAGAGAGAGAGAGUUUAUGUCUCAUGUAGUUAAAUGUAUGUUUAAUCUUGGUGUGUAUAAAUAUAACUUGAUGUUUGCUCUAGACAAUUAGAAUACUACAAUUGUUAAGCCCCAUUUAGUGUACUUAUUUUACAAGUGAUGUUUGUUGUAAAAGUUUGAAGGUGAAGCCCACAGAGGAAGUUUCCUUGCAUCUUCCAGGAACUUUCCCUUCCCUGUAUUUAUCAAUUCAGGAAGUUUCCUUGCAUCUUCCAGGAACCUUCCCUUCCCUGUAUUUUGCCUAAACAUUAGCCUAUAAAUAGGCAUACCAAUUGUAAAGGGGAAGGUGACCAACGGAGAAAAGAAAGAAAGGGGAGAAGAGAAAAAGAAGAGAGAAGAAGAAGAGAAAAGAAGAAAGAAAAGAAGAGAAAAGAAGAAAGAAAAGAAGAGAAAAGAAGAAAGAAAAGAGAGAAGAAGAAAGAGAGAGAAAAUUCAGUGAGCCUCACAUAUUGUAAACUCUAAAGUUGUAGCCCUAUUAUUUUAUAUAGUGAAAAAGUUACUGCUGCUGCUCUCCGAGGACGUAGGCAUAGCCGAACCUCGUUAAAUGCUGUGUCUCAUCUACUUUACGUGCAGCUCAAUAUUCAUACAUAUUCCAGGUUAUUUUUAUAACAAUGUUUAUGUAUAAAAUUAAGAACAAUUUGACUUAUUCACAUUAAAAGAAAAAAAAAAUCUUAUCGAUUCUUACACAAAAGGAAAACUCGUCCCUCUCACCAUUUUUUUCUCCUACAAACUCUCCUCUCUCUCCAUGAUUGGAUUUCUUAAAAAGCAAACGUGAAAACCAGAAGAUGGUUUGUAUGUGCUACCUCCCCAAUUGGAUCUUCAUUGGAGCUCUCUCACGGCUCAAUCAUUCUUUACUUCAUGAAUUCACACGUACGAUUUGGCACAUCCAAAUUUCAUUAACCGAUCUUAUAAUUUGACUUGGAUUUAUUUCACUUCCUCAAGGAAAAUCAUGGGUUUCAAUAAAAUUUUAGAAGUCAUAUGGAGAGAGGGAGAGUAUAGUGGAGAGAAAAAAUAGUGGGAGAGGGUUGGGGGUUGCGGGUGGGGGUUUGGGAUGUAGCUGUGGCAUGGGUUACGGGUGGGGAUGGGGGUGGUGGGCGAGAAAAAUAGUAGGGGGAGAGUAGAGAGAGAGGGCAGAUGGGGGAUGGGAAAGAACAAAAAGAAUUUUCAACUUUUUUCUUAAUUUUGAUUUUAAAUUUUUUAAUGAUUUUUUUUAUUUUAAAAUGUUUUUAAAAAUAUAUAUUUUUUAUCUUAUCCACGUGUCACGACAUUGUUGGAGAUAUGGAGCCCACUUAUCUUCCAUGUCAGCAAUUUAACAGAGUUUCUAACAUCACAUACCAUUUUUGUUAUAUCAUUCGUGGUCCUUAAGGUUAGUAUGUGUGAUCACAAAUAGUCCAUGACGUUAGAUUCCGUCAAAAACUCCGUUAGUUUGCUGACGUGGCAUAUAUAUAUAUAUAUAUCACAAAACAUUCUUGAGGUUCACGCGCUUAUCACAAAUGGUCACUGCGAAUUUUUUAAUUUAAAAUUCAUAAAAUUUUGGUUUUCUUUUUAAAAUUAUUUAAAAAUAUAUUUUAUAUUUUAAAUACAUGUGACACUAUAUUAUUGGAGAUAUGGGCUCCACAUAUAUGCCACAUCAACCAACUAAUGAAGUUUUUUUAAAAUCAUUUAAAAUUCAUAAAACUUAAAAAUGAAAAAAGUUUAGGGUCCAUAAAUGGUCCUCAAGGUCAAAAUCCUUCUACAUAUAAAACAUGUUAUUUAUUUUGUAACUUAAACUUGCUAUAUAUUUUCAUAACUUUAUACACAUUUCAGACGAUUUUAAAACCCGCAGCAUCGUGCAGGCACCUUUACUAGUAUUUAUCUAUAUAUCUAUCUUCGUUCUUUUUUGGUUCCGAAUCUGAUCGAUCAAUCAAAGUCACUUGAAAACUUAAAAGAUCCAGUGGCCGACAUGACUUGAAAACUUAAAACGUAUGUGUCCAUUGUGCCACAGAAAAUGAAAUGCAUAAUAGAAAAAACCACUAUCCAAAUCAUGCAGGAUCACAUAAUUGAAACCCUUUAAUCAGAUAAGCUCCUUCAAACCCCACAUUUCCUUUUCCCUAAAGCCUAGCAGCCAAAGGAAAGUUGUCAAGUACCUUUUGGCAAGUGAUUUUUAAAGCCCGUUUGUAUUGACUGAAAAAUAAAUGCUAGUGUUUACUAGGCUUAUUGGCCUCCUUCCUAUAUUUUGGCUUAUUGGCCUCUUCUCUCUUAGUCCACUUAUACAAGAGGCAACACCUAUUUAUAGAUAUAGACUUUCUUCUCAUUGCCACUAGUUUACAAGAUUUUUAGUAGGAAUUUUCUAGAAUGCCUACAAUAAUUAUGUCUUAAGAGUAUCCACAAUAAUGCUCUCUAUUUCUUAGCUAAAAUUUAACUAAAAAUAUAAUAAAACUAUUUUAGGAGCUCUCUAAAAAAUUUCAACUCUAACCAUACCCCAUAAUUUGGAGAGUCAUAAAUGCUAUAACUCUUUUUUGAUUGGUCCGUCUCUAUUAAAAAAUAAAAAUAAAAAUAGUUAGCAUUAAAUAAAGGUUUGAAAUACUCAUUAAAUAAAGCUGCAUUAAAUUAUAGGGAGUCACUAGAAGUCCUUUCUCUCUCCUCAGAUUUAGGAGCUCCUAGAGGACUCCCUAUUUUAGGAGGUGGAUAGGGAGCGUGGUUGGAGUUGCAUUUUUACGAUUCCUCCCUAGAAUUUGUCUGAGGUGGUUUAAGGGGCCCAUUGUAGAUGCUCUAAAGCUUGACUUUGUCAAAAUUGGUGAAUAUUUCUUGAGGUUUCCAUUUUUACUAGAUUUUUCUAAAUUCUUCAAGAUAAUUGUGCAUUAAAUUUAACACUUAUAAUCCAGACUGGCCAAACACCAUCUUCAGGCCUAAAGCAUUUUUCAAAAACACAACAUGGAAGUUCCCAAAUUUCUCAUUAUUUUGCUGCUUGCAGCCACAAUUGCUAGAAGUGAAGCACGGUUAUCAAGCUUAAGGCAGGGGAGCUCCUUGAAAGUUGAGGAAGAGAGUGACUUCUUGGUUUCACCAAAUGGAACUUUCUCCAGUGGAUUUUACAAGGUUGACACCAGUGCCUCUUGCUAUUCAAUAUGGUUCACCAAUUCUGUCAAUAAAACAGUUGUCUGGAUGGCUAACAGAGAUAAGCCUGUUAGUCGAAGAGGGUCCAAGCUAACUCUCCACAGAAAUGGCAACUUGGUUUUGACUGAUGGGGUUGGAUCCAUUGUAUGGUCAACCAACACUUUCUCUGAUGCAGGCGUGGAGGCUCAGCUUCUUGAGACCGGAAACUUGGUUCUCAUCAACCAAGAAAAGAUGGUCAUCUGGCAGCCCACAGAUACACUUCUGCCAUCCCAGCGACUUGUCAAGGACACAACCUUGGUGUCAGUGAGAAGUCAAGGUACAUACUUAUCUGGAUUCUACAACUUCAGAUUCUACGACAAUAAUGUAUUAUAUCUCAUGUACAGUGGCCCUCUCUUUUCGAGUGUUUAUUUUCCAAAGCAGGAUAAAACUGUUUUCGAUUUUAAAAGAACACCUUACAAUAGCUCUAAAGUGGCAAUUUUGGAUGAGGCUGGACAAUUUAUAUCAAGUGACGAUUUCAUGUUCAAUGCAUCUGAUUAUGGAAUUGGCCCAAAGCGCCAGUUAACAAUGGAUUAUGAUGGUAUCUUAAGAUUGUACAGUCUAGAUGAAUCAACUGGGCUUUGGGAAAUGUCAUGGUUGCCUGAUGGUGUGGAUGCAUACGGUAUGUGCACUUACAAACCACAACCUACUUGUAGUUGCCCUUAUGGUUUCUCCCUAAAUGAUUCUUCAGACGGGUCGAAAGGCUGCUCACCUUGGUUCAAUUUGAGUAAUGAUGCAACCAAGUCAGACUUCAUGGUGCUUCCUAACACAGAUUACUAUGGAUAUGACAUGGAAACCUAUGCUCUUGGAAUUUCUUUUAGCGCAUGCAGGAAUGCAUGCCUAACUGAUUCUAGAUGCAAAGGAUUCGGAUAUGCUCUGGAUGGAAAAGGGCAAUGUUACCCUAAAUUUUUUCUCCUUAAUGGAUUUCAUAAGCCGAAUACUUCCCAAAUCAUGCAUAUUAAAAUUCCAAAAGGUUUUCUGAGCAAGGAUGAAGUCAUAACGAAGCUAGAAACAUACGAUUUGAACUGCUCAGCUGCACAAGUUUCUCUCAAAACUAGUGAUCUUGAAGUGGAAAAGAGCAACAAAAAUCGAUACAUGGUUUACCUGGUUGGAUUUGUAAGUUCCUUCGCAAUAAUUGAAGCAAUCUGCAUUGGUUUGACAUGGUGGUACGCCUUCCGAAAGCAUGCUCAUGAGGAAUUUGUGAAUAUGGGUGACAUCGCACUAGCCACGGGAUUCAAGCGUUUCACGUACGCAGAACUAAAAAGAGCCACCAAUGGCUUCAAACAGGAGGUAGGAAAAGGUGGCUUUGGAACUGUGUAUAAAGGUGUUCUAGAUAAAAGAGUUGUUGCUGUGAAGAGACUAGAUGGCAUCUUGCAAGGAGAUGCAGAGUUUUGGGCACAGGUGAGUGUGAUAGGGAAUAUCAAUCACAGGAACUUGGUUAAACUAUGGGGUUUCUGUGCUGACAAUGAGCAUAAGCUGCUCGUCUACGAGUACCUGGAGAAUGGAUCACUGGACAAAAUCUUGUUCACAUCAGAUGGGGAACUAGGAUUGGAGCAGAGAUACAACAUUGCUCUUGGCACAGCAAAGGGUUUGUCAUAUUUACAUGAGGAAUGCCUAGAAUGGGUGCUCCAUUGUGAUGUAAAGCCUCAAAACAUACUGUUAGAUGACGACCUUGAACCUAAAGUGGCAGACUUUGGCAUGUCAAAGCUAUUCAAAGACAUCCAAGGCAUCAGGGACAUCGAUGGGAUGGGAUUUUCGAAAGCGCGGGGCACCAGAGGCUAUAUGGCUCCAGAGUGGAUGAUGAACCUGAAAAUUGAUGCA
This 7084-nucleotide long non-coding RNA is filed under the name Prunus persica (peach). RNAcentral describes it as "long non-coding RNA (PPER_LNC006642)". The record is from RNAcentral. Lineage: Eukaryota; Viridiplantae; Streptophyta; Magnoliopsida; Rosales; Rosaceae.